AACGCUGGCGGCGGGCUUAACACAUGCAAGUCGAACGGGGUAGUAAUACCCAGUGGCGCACGGGUGCGUAACGCGUAGGCAACCUGCCCUAGAGUGGGGAAUAACUCUCCGAAAGGAGAGCUAAUACCGCAUAUGGUCUGAGAGUGGCAUCACUCACAGAUGAAAGUUUUAAUGCUCUAGGAUGGGCCUGCGUUGGAUUAGGUAGUUGGUGCGGUAACGGCGCACCAAGCCGACGAUCCAUAGCUGGUCUGAGAGGAUGAUCAGCCACACUGGCACUGAGACACGGGCCAGACUCCUACGGGAGGCAGCAGCGAGGAAUCUUGCGCAAUGGAGGAAACUCUGACGCAGCCACGCCGCGUGAAGGAUGACACCCCUCUGGGGCGUAAACUUCUUUUGUAUGGGAAGAACAACGCGUUCGACGCGUCUGACGGUACCAUACGAAUAAGCACCGGCUAACUCCGUGCCAGCAGCCGCGGUAAUACGGAGGGUGCAAGCGUUGUCCGGAAUCAUUGGGUGUAAAGGGUGUGUAGGCGGGACCGUAAGUCAGAGGUGAAAGCCCAUAGCUUAACUGUGGAAUUGCCUUUGAUACUGCGGACCUUGAGUCCUGGAGAGGUGGCUAGAAUUAAU
This 627-nucleotide ribosomal RNA is filed under the name uncultured soil bacterium. Its description in RNAcentral is "bacterial SSU rRNA". It matches the Rfam family "Bacterial small subunit ribosomal RNA", at positions 32 to 671 of the family's 1533-position model. The record is from RNAcentral.